AACGAACGCUGGCGGCAUGCCUAACACAUGCAAGUCGUACGUGAAAGUCCUUCGGGAUGAGUAAAGUGGCGAACGGGUGAGUAAUGCAUAGGAACAUACCUGCAGGCUGGGGAUAACUGCUGGAAACGGCAGCUAAUACCGAAUAACUUCGUAAGAAGAAAGGUGGCCUAUCCUUGGAAGCUACUGCCUGUAGAUUGGCCUAUGUCCCAUUAGCUAGUUGGUAGGGUAAUGGCCUACCAAGGCUUCGAUGGGUAGCUGGUCUGAGAGGACGAUCAGCCACACUGGGACUGCGACACGGCCCAGACUCCUACGGGAGGCAGCAGUGGGGAAUCUUGCACAAUGGACGAAAGUCUGAUGCAGCAAUGCCGCGUGAGUGAAGAAGGCCUUCGGGUCGUAAAGCUCUUUCGGCCGGGAAGAAGGGUCAUCUUGUGAACAAUUAGAUGAUUUGACGGUACCGGAAGAAGAAGCACCGGCUAACUUCGUGCCAGCAGCCGCGGUAAUACGAAGGGUGCGAGCGUUGUUCGGAAUCAUUGGGCGUAAAGAGCACGUAGGCGGGUUUGUAAGUCGAUUGUGAAAGCCCCGGGCUUAACCUGGGAACUGCAGUCGAAACUGCUAAUCUUGAAUGUUCGAGGGGAUGAUGGAAUUCCUGAAGUAGAAGUGAAAUUCGUAGAUAUCAGGAGGAACACCGGCGGCGAAGGCGGUCAUCUGGCGAAACAUUGACGCUGGGGUGCGAAAGCGUGGGGAGCAAACAGGAUUAGAUACCCUGGUAGUCCGCGCCGUAAACGAUGGAUACUAGAUGUUCGGAGAGUUAACCCUCUGAGUAUCGUAGCUCACGCAUUAAGUAUCCCGCCUGGGGAGUACGGCCGCAAGGUUGAAACUCAAAGGAAUUGACGGGGGCCCGCACAAGCGGUGGAGUAUGUGGUUUAAUUCGAAGCAACGCGCAGAACCUUACCUGGGUUUGACAUCCAGAGACCGCUACAGAGAUGUAGUUUUCCCUUCGGGGACUCUGAGACAGGUGCUGCAUGGCUGUCGUCAGCUCGUGUCGUAAGAUGUUGGGUUAAGUCCCGCAACGAGCGCAACCCUUGUCUUUAGUUGCCACCAUUAAGUUGGGAACUCUAGAGAGACUGCCGGUGUUAAACCGGAGGAAGGCGGGGAUGACGUCAAGUCCUCAUGGCCCUUACGCCCAGGGCUACACACGUACUACAAUGGCAGAAACAAACCGUUGCGAAACCGCGAGGUCAAGCUAAUCGGAAAAACACUGCCCCAGUUCGGAUUGAAGUCUGCAACUCGACUUCAUGGAGUUGGAAUCGCUAGUAAUCGCAGAUCAGCACGCUGCGGUGAAUACGUUCCCGGGCCU
This 1357-nucleotide ribosomal RNA is filed under the name uncultured bacterium. RNAcentral describes it as "bacterial SSU rRNA". It matches the Rfam family "Bacterial small subunit ribosomal RNA", at positions 28 to 1381 of the family's 1533-position model. The record is from RNAcentral.